UACGGAGGGGGCAAGCGUUAUUCGGAAUUAUUGGGCGUAAAGGGCGCGUAGGCGGCUAGAUGUGUCAAAGGUGAAAUCCCUCGGCUCAACUGAGGAACUGCCUUUGAAACUGUCUGGCUUGAGGCCGGGAGAGGGUAGCGGAAUUCCCAGUGUAGCGGUGAAAUGCGUAGAUAUUGGGAGGAACACCAGUGGCGAAGGCGGGACUCUGGGCCGAUACUGACGCUGAGGAGCGAAAGCGUGGGGAGCAAACAGG
RNAcentral lists this ribosomal RNA (253 nucleotides) under uncultured bacterium. RNAcentral's name for it is "partial 16S ribosomal RNA". It matches the Rfam family "Bacterial small subunit ribosomal RNA", at positions 524 to 776 of the family's 1533-position model. The record is from RNAcentral.